Molecule: long non-coding RNA, 689 nt
Filed under: Sinocyclocheilus grahami
Lineage: Eukaryota; Metazoa; Chordata; Actinopteri; Cypriniformes; Cyprinidae
Description: lncRNA (ENSSGRG00000024904.1)
Source: RNAcentral
GAACUCGCCAGAAACGUUCGCUUUGAAGCUCUGCUCUGAGCUGGGACUCGGAGGAGAGUUUGUCACCACCAUCGCCUACAGCAUCCGCGGACAGCUCAGCUGGCAUCAGAGGACGUACGCCUUCAGUGAGAACCCAUUACCAACAGUGGAGAUUGCCAUUCGGAACACAGGUGAUGCCGAUCAGUGGUGCCCUCUGCUGGAGACCCUGACAGAUGCAGAGAUGGAGAAGAAAAUCAGAGAUCAGGACAGAAACACAAGGCGUAUGCGAAGACUUGCCAACACCGCCCCUGCCUGGUAAAGACAGGACGUUAUUGAUGCUGCCACUCAAUAAGCUCACAGUCUCUCGAAGGGCCUCAGGGUUGCUGGAGGCCUUUGCACAGAUCCACGCAGCUCUAGAUAACAUUCCUCCAGCCUUCUGACCUCCUCAACCCACACAGCAUUACACACUUUCUUAAUACCAGGCCUUUAAACACUGAUCUGGCAUCAGCCAGGCUUUACAGUGCUCACGGGGGCUGUUGUUCGGACGUCUUAGUAGAAUGCCUGUCAUUGCCGUUUCUCUGGUCUCCAGUUAUAGAGACAUCUGUAUAGUCUGGUUGUAAGAACAGGAUGUUGAGAACAUUUGUUUGAGUAUUGUGUUUUUUGUUAAAGGUGCUAAUGAGAACUAUGAACUUGACUUGCUUUUUUUUUUU